This 420-nucleotide small RNA is filed under the name Histoplasma capsulatum var. duboisii H88. RNAcentral describes it as "Histoplasma capsulatum H88 hypothetical RNA". Lineage: Eukaryota; Fungi; Ascomycota; Eurotiomycetes; Onygenales; Ajellomycetaceae. The record is from RNAcentral.
UCAUCGUCAAGCUUAACCGGCCAGGGAUUCAGCACUGCCUCAUUCAGCCCCACUAACCUAUCUAGGCACCCCUAAAUUCCGGGGAAUGAAUUUAAAAACUAUCCGAUUAGGACACCCCGGGCCUAGCGAGGACCUAGGUGAGACGAGGCCUAGGCGCCCUUAAUAGGUGGUUAGUGCAAGCAAGGCCGUGACAGCCAAUUGGUAGGCUGGAAUGCCGAGAUUGGCAGCUGGAAGGUCGGGGGAUUUAACUAGAAUUGGGUAGCUCUGGUGUUAUUCUUAGUGAGGAUCCCACUUAGGUAGGCUAGUUAAGGAACCUGGGUGGGCGGCGGCACCCUAGGGGGAAUGAUAACCCCUAAUGGUGGCCCGAGAGGACAGAGGCGGCGGCCGGUUAUAUAGGGUGUUAAAAUAUGUAUAUAGCUC